Alligator mississippiensis (American alligator) is the source of this 861-nucleotide long non-coding RNA. RefSeq lists it as uncharacterized. NCBI's taxonomy places the organism in Eukaryota, Metazoa, Chordata, Crocodylia, Alligatoridae. The transcript is spliced from 3 exons. The record is from RefSeq and is a predicted model, not a curated record.
AGCUGAGCCUGGCUAGGUAGUCAGGUGCCCAGAAGGGGGCAGGCCAGAACUAUAAAAACCCUGGGCUUGGCAGCAGUAGGGGUCGUGGCCAAAGGGGAAGGAGGUUGUGUGUGAGAGCUCCACAGAGAGGUGUGGCUGCUGGUCCAGCUGCUGUGAGAAGGGAACUGUUGCUGACUCUCAGAGAAACGGUGGCAGCACUGCAGGGAGGAGCAUCACAGGCAGCGGGGAAGCAGAAGCAUCAAGCCAUGAAGAACGUGUCCAGAGAGUCUUGUGCCAUCAGCACCCCAGGAAACUCCUGUGAGUCGUCCUUGUCUGGUGCUGCCUGCCAAGCCUGCUGCUCUGGUGUUUGCCCACCAGUGCCUCUGUGCCAGCACCAGAGCUUGGAGAACACUUGAUUGACAGACAAAUAAAAUGAAGAAUGAUGGAUACACAUAAUCUGUCUAAAUCUGUCAAGUCUGGUAUGACUGCCCUAAAUUACAAAUUGCCACAACGCACCCCAGUAGAACCUUCUGCAAGCAUGAGUGGACACUGUGCUUUUUGUCUAAGGACAGAUGACCGCAAAACCUGAAAAUGAUGCAAAGAUUGUAAGUGAUUUGCUUGUGUGCACCGCAGUGCAUCAGUGCUACUUUGUGAUGAAUGCAAUAUUUAGUUAAAACAGUUAGGAAAUGUUUUUGGAAAUAAUUGUUAGUUUGAAAACAGUGGGAACUGCAGACUUAGCAAAUUGUUCAUUCACAUUUUGAAACUCUAAAAAAAGUUUAAAUUUUGUUCAUGGUUCUAGUUAAAUAAUAUUUUGGGUUCAAAUCAUCAUAAAUACUCUUUCAAACAAUCUGUAUGUUUAAUAAAUAGUUUUUGGUACAUUUA